UAUAUUUAAGUGUAAGAUGCACAAUGAUUUUUGAUAUCUUUGGGUAUGGUUUAAUUCCAUAAAAUAUAA
This 69-nucleotide transfer RNA is filed under the name Plautia stali. Its description in RNAcentral is "tRNA-Gln". RNAcentral also lists the same sequence under 2 other names. The record is from RNAcentral. Lineage: Eukaryota; Metazoa; Arthropoda; Insecta; Hemiptera; Pentatomidae.